RNAcentral lists this ribosomal RNA (600 nucleotides) under uncultured bacterium. RNAcentral describes it as "bacterial SSU rRNA". It matches the Rfam family "Bacterial small subunit ribosomal RNA", at positions 97 to 672 of the family's 1533-position model. The record is from RNAcentral.
GGCGUACGGGUGCGGAACACGUGUGCAACUGCUUUAUCUGGGGGAUAGCCUUUCGAAAGGAAGAUUAAUACCCCAUAAUAUGUUGAAUGGCAUCAUUCGACAUUGAAACCUCCGGUGGAUAGAGAUGGGCACGCGCAAGAUUAGAUAGUUGGUGAGGUAACGGUCACCAAGUCUACGAUCUUUAGGGGGCCUGAGAGGGUGAUCCCCCGACUGGUACUGAGACACGGACCAGAAUCCUACGGGAGGCAAGUGAGGAAUAUUGGACAAUGGGUGAGAGCCUGAUCCAGCCAUCCCGCGUGGAGGACGAUGGCCUAUGGGUUGGAAACUUCUUUGUAUAGGGAUAAAACCUACCCUCGUGAGGGUAGCUGAAGGUACUAUACGAAUAAGCACCGGCUAACUCCGUGCCAGCAGCCCGCGGUAAUACGGAGGGUGCAAGCGUCAUCCCGGAUCUAUUGGGGGUUUAAAGGGUCCGUAGGCGGAUCUGUCAAGUCCAGUUGGUUGAAAUCUCCACCAGGCUUUAAANCUUGGUGGAAAACUUGGCCCAUUGGAUCACCUUGGGCACGGGUACUNUGGAAGCUCGGAAGGCGAAAGUCACGCUUG